This 198-nucleotide long non-coding RNA is filed under the name Ictidomys tridecemlineatus (thirteen-lined ground squirrel). Its description in RNAcentral is "lncRNA (ENSSTOG00000033871.1)". Lineage: Eukaryota; Metazoa; Chordata; Mammalia; Rodentia; Sciuridae. The record is from RNAcentral.
GUAGGAAGCGGCAGGGGCGCCGGACCCUUGGAUUGGAUGGCACGAAGACCUCACGGAGAGAGGUGACAGAUGAAAUCAGUCACCAUGGGGCCCAUGAGGACCACUGCAUGUCCUUAGGGCCACAUUCCAGAUGUCAUGAAGUCCUCAUCCCUUCAGCCAAAGCAGCCUCUCUGAUGAGUUGGGCCUAAAGAGGUGGAG